RNAcentral lists this ribosomal RNA (422 nucleotides) under uncultured bacterium. RNAcentral describes it as "bacterial SSU rRNA". It matches the Rfam family "Bacterial small subunit ribosomal RNA", at positions 355 to 774 of the family's 1533-position model. The record is from RNAcentral.
UAAGGAAUAUUGGUCAAUGGACGCAAGUCUGAACCAGCCAUGCCGCGUGGAGGAUUAAGGCCCUCUGGGUUGUAAACUCCUUUUAUCUGGGAAGAAAUGUACUUUUUCUUGAGUACUUGACGGUACCAGAGGAAUAAGCACCGGCUAACUCCGUGCCAGCAGCCGCGGUGAUACGGAGGGUGCAAGCGUUAUCCGGAUUCACUGGGUUUAAAGGGUGCGUAGGUGGGCAGGUAAGUCAGUGGUGAAAUCUCCGGGCUUAACCCGGAAACUGCCGUUGAUACUAGUUGUCUUGAAUAUUGCGGAGGUAAGCGGAAUAUGUCAUGUAGCGGUGAAAUGCUUAGAUAUGACAUAGAACACCAAUUGCGAAGGCAGCUUACUACACAAUCAUUGACACUGAGGCACGAAAGCGUGGGUAGCGAACG